This 453-nucleotide ribosomal RNA is filed under the name uncultured Bacteroidales bacterium. RNAcentral's name for it is "bacterial SSU rRNA". It matches the Rfam family "Bacterial small subunit ribosomal RNA", at positions 917 to 1370 of the family's 1533-position model. The record is from RNAcentral. Lineage: Bacteria; Pseudomonadati; Bacteroidota; Bacteroidia; Bacteroidales.
GGGCCCGCACAAGCGGAGGAACAUGUGGUUUAAUUCGAUGAUACGCGAGGAACCUUACCCGGGUUUGAACGCGGCAGGACGUACGGUGAAAGCCGUAUUCCAGCGAUGGUCUGUCGCGAGGUGCUGCAUGGUUGUCGUCAGCUCGUGCCGUGAGGUGUCGGCUUAAGUGCCAUAACGAGCGCAACCCUUAUCGCCAGUUACCAGCGUGUAAAGACGGGAACUCUGGCGAGACUGCCGGCGUAAGCUGCGAGGAAGGUGGGGAUGACGUCAAAUCAGCACGGCCCUUAUAUCCGGGGCGACACACGUGUUACAAUGGCAGGGACAAAGAGCAGCUACCGUGCGAGCGGAAGCGAAUCUCCAAACCCUGUCUCAGUUCGGAUCGGAGUCUGCAACUCGACUCCGUGAAGCUGGAUUCGCUAGUAAUCGCGCAUCAGCCAUGGCGCGGUGAAUACG